CUGGAAUCGCAAGACUCCCAACCCCUGUGAACAUACCUGAACGUUGCCUCGGCGGGACCGCCCCGGCGCCCUCGGGCGGCCCGGAAACCAGGCGCCCGCCGCAGGACCCCAAACUCUUGCUUCCGAACAGUGGGAUCACGCACUCUGAGUACAGCGAGAAUGAAUCA
This 167-nucleotide unclassified non-coding RNA is filed under the name uncultured fungus. RNAcentral's name for it is "sequence contains ITS1, 5.8S rRNA gene". Lineage: Eukaryota; Fungi. The record is from RNAcentral.